UGUUGGAGGUGUUUUGCCGGCUUUUUCCGUCUCAGGAAAAGGGUCAGCUCCUCUGAAAUGUAUUAGUGGCAUCUGAGCUGCUACUAUAGGUGUGAUAACUAUCUAUGCCUUUGGUAUGCUGCAUGAACAGAUUGGGCUGCUUUACAAAACAAAUUGACAAACUUGACCUCAAAUCAGGUAGGACUACCCGCUGAACUUAA
RNAcentral lists this unclassified non-coding RNA (200 nucleotides) under soil metagenome. RNAcentral describes it as "partial contains internal transcribed spacer 2 and large subunit ribosomal RNA". The record is from RNAcentral.